This 37-nucleotide ribosomal RNA is filed under the name Meyerozyma smithsonii. Its description in RNAcentral is "partial 18S ribosomal RNA". Lineage: Eukaryota; Fungi; Ascomycota; Pichiomycetes; Serinales; Debaryomycetaceae. The record is from RNAcentral.
CAAGGUUUCCGUAGGUGAAUCUGCGGAAGGAUCAUUA